AUGUUCAACCAGUCACCAAUAGCCUAGACGAAGAAAACAGCGCACGAGUUUGUUUACAUGUGGACUAUACAGCAGUUUGGUUGCGGACUUGCAGUAAAGUGAUGCAAUGGGAAAUGAGACUCAUCUUGUUCAUCUUUCUCCUUGAUGGCCUCACAAGUUUCAUCCAAGAAUUGCAUUGUUUAGACAUGACUUGAGUAUUUAUAAUCUCCAUCAUUCCAAAAUCAUGAUAAAGUGUCCAAACACAGAGAAAAACUCCUGAAGCGACUGAUCUCCACACUGUUAUAAAGAU
Danio rerio (zebrafish) is the source of this 289-nucleotide non-coding RNA. Lineage: Eukaryota; Metazoa; Chordata; Actinopteri; Cypriniformes; Danionidae. The record is from RefSeq and is a predicted model, not a curated record.